Molecule: transfer RNA, 86 nt
Filed under: Paracoccus thiocyanatus
Lineage: Bacteria; Pseudomonadati; Pseudomonadota; Alphaproteobacteria; Rhodobacterales; Paracoccaceae
Also listed under: 2 other names
Description: tRNA-Leu
Rfam family: tRNA
About the family: Transfer RNA (tRNA) molecules are approximately 80 nucleotides in length.
Source: RNAcentral
GCGGGCGUGGCGGAAUGGUAGACGCAUGGGACUUAAACUCCCUGGGGCGCAAGCCCGUGCGGGUUCAAGUCCCGCCGCCCGCACCA